RNAcentral lists this ribosomal RNA (1740 nucleotides) under Escherichia coli P0304777.14. Its description in RNAcentral is "bacterial LSU rRNA". It matches the Rfam family "Bacterial large subunit ribosomal RNA", at positions 1205 to 2925 of the family's 2925-position model. Lineage: Bacteria; Pseudomonadati; Pseudomonadota; Gammaproteobacteria; Enterobacterales; Enterobacteriaceae. The record is from RNAcentral.
GCAGCGACGCUUAUGCGUUGUUGGGUAGGGGAGCGUUCUGUAAGCCUGUGAAGGUGUGCUGUGAGGCAUGCUGGAGGUAUCAGAAGUGCGAAUGCUGACAUAAGUAACGAUAAAGCGGGUGAAAAGCCCGCUCGCCGAAAGACCAAGGGUUCCUGUCCAACGUUAAUCGGGGCAGGGUGAGUCGACCCCUAAGGCGAGGCCGAAAGGCGUAGUCGAUGGGAAACAGGUUAAUAUUCCUGUACUUGGUGUUACUGCGAAGGGGGGACGGAGAAGGCUAUGUUGGCCGGGCGACGGUUGUCCCGGUUUAAGCGUGUAGGCUGGUUUUCCAGGCAAAUCCGGAAAAUCAAGGCUGAGGCGUGAUGACGAGGCACUACGGUGCUGAAGCAACAAAUGCCCUGCUUCCAGGAAAAGCCUCUAAGCAUCAGGUAACAUCAAAUCGUACCCCAAACCGACACAGGUGGUCAGGUAGAGAAUACCAAGGCGCUUGAGAGAACUCGGGUGAAGGAACUAGGCAAAAUGGUGCCGUAACUUCGGGAGAAGGCACGCUGAUAUGUAGGUGAAGUCCCUCGCGGAUGGAGCUGAAAUCAGUCGAAGAUACCAGCUGGCUGCAACUGUUUAUUAAAAACACAGCACUGUGCAAACACGAAAGUGGACGUAUACGGUGUGACGCCUGCCCGGUGCCGGAAGGUUAAUUGAUGGGGUCAGCGCAAGCGAAGCUCUUGAUCGAAGCCCCGGUAAACGGCGGCCGUAACUAUAACGGUCCUAAGGUAGCGAAAUUCCUUGUCGGGUAAGUUCCGACCUGCACGAAUGGCGUAAUGAUGGCCAGGCUGUCUCCACCCGAGACUCAGUGAAAUUGAACUCGCUGUGAAGAUGCAGUGUACCCGCGGCAAGACGGAAAGACCCCGUGAACCUUUACUAUAGCUUGACACUGAACAUUGAGCCUUGAUGUGUAGGAUAGGUGGGAGGCUUGAAGUGUGGACGCCAGUCUGCAUGGAGCCGACCUUGAAAUACCACCCUUUAAUGUUUGAUGUUCUAACGUUGACCCGUGAUCCGGGUUGCGGACAGUGUCUGGUGGGUAGUUUGACUGGGGCGGUCUCCUCCUAAAGAGUAACGGAGGAGCACGAAGGUUGGCUAAUCCUGGUCGGACAUCAGGAGGUUAGUGCAAUGGCAUAAGCCAGCUUGACUGCGAGCGUGACGGCGCGAGCAGGUGCGAAAGCAGGUCAUAGUGAUCCGGUGGUUCUGAAUGGAAGGGCCAUCGCUCAACGGAUAAAAGGUACUCCGGGGAUAACAGGCUGAUACCGCCCAAGAGUUCAUAUCGACGGCGGUGUUUGGCACCUCGAUGUCGGCUCAUCACAUCCUGGGGCUGAAGUAGGUCCCAAGGGUAUGGCUGUUCGCCAUUUAAAGUGGUACGCGAGCUGGGUUUAGAACGUCGUGAGACAGUUCGGUCCCUAUCUGCCGUGGGCGCUGGAGAACUGAGGGGGGCUGCUCCUAGUACGAGAGGACCGGAGUGGACGCAUCACUGGUGUUCGGGUUGUCAUGCCAAUGGCACUGCCCGGUAGCUAAAUGCGGAAGAGAUAAGUGCUGAAAGCAUCUAAGCACGAAACUUGCCCCGAGAUGAGUUCUCCCUGACUCCUUGAGGGUCCUGAAGGAACGUUGAAGACGACGACGUUGAUAGGCCGGGUGUGUAAGCGCAGCGAUGCGUUGAGCUAACCGGUACUAAUGAACCGUGAGGCUUAACCU